This 435-nucleotide ribosomal RNA is filed under the name uncultured bacterium. RNAcentral's name for it is "partial 16S ribosomal RNA". It matches the Rfam family "Bacterial small subunit ribosomal RNA", at positions 29 to 507 of the family's 1533-position model. The record is from RNAcentral.
AGCGAACGCUGGCGGCAGGCUUAACACAUGCAAGUCGAGCGGGCACUUUCGGGUGUCAGCGGCGGACGGGUGAGUAACGCGUGGGAACAUGCCCUCUGGUUCGGAAUAACUCAGGGAAACUUGAGCUAAUACCGGAUACGCCCUUUUGGGGAAAGGCUUGCUGCCGGAGGAUCGGCCCGCGUCUGAUUAGCUAGUUGGUGAGGUAACGGCUCACCAAGGCGACGAUCAGUAGCUGGUCUGAGAGGAUGAUCAGCCACACUGGGACUGAGACACGGCCCAGACUCCUACGGGAGGCAGCAGUGGGGAAUAUUGGACAAUGGGCGCAAGCCUGAUCCAGCCAUGCCGCGUGAGUGAUGAAGGCCUUAGGGUUGUAAAGCUCUUUUAUCCGGGACGAUAAUGACGGUACCGGAGGAAUAAGCCCCGGCUAACUUCGUG